GACGAACGCUGGCGGCGUGCUUAACACAUGCAAGUCGAACGGAAAGGCCCUGCUUUUGUGGGGUGCUCGAGUGGCGAACGGGUGAGUAACACGUGAGUAACCUGCCCUUGACUUUGGGAUAACUUCAGGAAACUUGGGCUAAUACCGGAUAGGAGCUCCUGCUGCAUGGUGGGGGUUGGAAAGUUUCGGCGGUUGGGGAUGGACUCGCGGCUUAUCAGCUUGUUGGUGGGGUAGUGGCUUACCAAGGCUUUGACGGGUAGCCGGCCUGAGAGGGUGACCGGCCACAAUGGGACUGAGAGACGGACCAGACUGCUACGGGAGGCAGCAGGGGGGAAUAUGGCACAAUGGGCGGAAGCCUGAUGCAGCAACGCCGCGUGCGGGAUGACGGCCUUCGGGUUGUAAACCGCUUUCGCCUGUGACGAAGCGUGAGUGACGGUAAUGGGUAAAGAAGCACCGGCUAACUACGUG
Molecule: ribosomal RNA, 468 nt
Filed under: uncultured bacterium
Lineage: Bacteria
Description: partial 16S ribosomal RNA
Rfam family: Bacterial small subunit ribosomal RNA
Source: RNAcentral